AACGAACGUUGGCGGCGUGGAUUAGGCAUGCAAGUCGCGCGAAUCCCACCUGGGCAACUGGGUGGGGGAAGCGGCGAAAGGGGCAGUAAGGCGUGGGUAACCUGCCCCGGAGUUCGGAAUAGCCUUCCUAACGGAUGGGUAAUACCGAAUGCCAUGAGCGAGGGGCAUCUCUUGCUCAUGAAAGCUCCGGCGCUCCGGGAGGGGCCCACGUGGUAUUAGCUAGUUGGUGGGGUGACGGCCCACCAAGGCCAAGAUGCCUAGCAGGUGUGAGAGCACGACCUGCGCCACUGGCACUGGGACACUGGCCAGACUCCUACGGGAGGCUGCAGUCGAGGAUCUUCGGCAAUGGGCGCAAGCCUGACCGAGCGACGCCGCGUGUGCGAUGAAGGCCUUCGGGUUGUAAAGCACUGUCGGGGGGGAGAAAGGGGCGCAAGCCCUUGAUCGACCCCCGGAGGAAGCACGGGCUAAGUUCGUGCCAGCCGCCGCAGUAACAC
This 494-nucleotide ribosomal RNA is filed under the name uncultured bacterium. Its description in RNAcentral is "bacterial SSU rRNA". It matches the Rfam family "Bacterial small subunit ribosomal RNA", at positions 28 to 526 of the family's 1533-position model. The record is from RNAcentral.